AUGGUUGGUAUUAAGGGUAAAUGGUGGAUGCCUAGACAUUAAAGGGCUAAGAAGGACGCAGCGUAACGGCGAUACGCCUCGGGUAGGUGUGUAGCAACCUAUGAUCCGGGGAUUUCCGAAUGGGGAAACCCAGUUGAGUAAACCUCAACUAUCCGCGACUCAUAAGAAGUCCGGAAGCGAACCCACUGAAGUGAAACAUCUCAGUAAGUGGAGGAAAAAAGAACAACAGUGUAUUCCCUAAGUAGCGGCGAGCGAAACGGGAAGAGCCUAAACCUAGUGCAUCGCACUAAGGUGCGAUGCAGAAAAUAGAAUCUAGAAUCUAGAAAGUAGAAGUGAUACAAAAUCCAUUUUCAUUUCUUCUAUUUUCUACUUACUAUUUUCUUGUUUCUGUGCGACGCGCUUUAGCGCGGUGCGCUGGGGGUCAUAAGAUGAAAACAUCUUAGAUAUAAAGUUGAGCGUCUGUAGUGGCGAACAACUUUAUAUCUAUAAAAGAAGUCACAAAUUGAUUAGCUAGUCGAAGUUUCUGGAAAGUUACACCAAAGAAGGUGAAAGUCCUGUAGGCGAAAGCCAAUCAACUUCUAGUUUUUUUUCUUGAGUACUUCGAGGCAAAUAAACUUCGAAGGAAGUAGCGAGUACUAUCUCGUAAGGCUAAAUACCUUUAAUGAUCGAUAGUGAACAAGUACCGUGAGGGAAAGGUGAAAAGCAGGCCGGCAAGGCCGUUGAAAUAGAACCUGAAACCAUUUACUUACAAGGAGUCGAAGCACUAAGUUGCAUCUCACUGUCGUGAGGAUGCUUCAUAUAUCAUGUAUCACGCAGCAUGUAACAGAAAUAACUUGUGUUACAUGUUACAUGGUUCGUGUUUUGUGAAGCACGUCGCGAGAGUGAGAUGCGGCAGUGUAACGGCGUGCCUAUUGAAGAAUGAGCCAACGACUUAUUUUACAUUGCUUGUCUAAACCCGAUAAGGGUGGAGGCAUAGGGAAACCGAGUCUUAAUAGGGCGAAUAUGGCAGUGCAAGAUAGACCCGAAGCCAGAUGAGCUUGCCUUGGCCAGGAUGAAGUCUCGCGAAAGCGAGGCGGAGGUCCGCACCAGUGAGCCGUUCAAAACUCUUGGAUGAGCUGAGGUAAGGAGUGAAAAGCUAAUCGAAUCUGGUAAUAGCUGGUUCUCUCCGAAAUAGUUUUAGGACUAGCGCCUAGUAUAGCAAUUGGGGGUAGAGCACUGGAUGAUUGGUAAAGGGCGAAAGCUCAGCUAAUUAACCAAACUCCGAAUACCAGUUGUGUUAGCUAGGUAGUUAGAAUGUGGGGGCUAAGCUCCAUGUUCAAAAGGGAAACAGCCCAGACCAUCAUCUAAGGUCCCUAAAUUCAUGCUAAGUGUAAAAGGUAGUCAUCUACCAGUGACAGAUAGGAGGUUGGCUUAGAGGUAGCCAUCCU
Molecule: ribosomal RNA, 1427 nt
Filed under: bacterium
Lineage: Bacteria
Description: partial 23S ribosomal RNA
Rfam family: Bacterial large subunit ribosomal RNA
Source: RNAcentral